This 460-nucleotide ribosomal RNA is filed under the name uncultured bacterium. RNAcentral describes it as "partial 16S ribosomal RNA". It matches the Rfam family "Bacterial small subunit ribosomal RNA", at positions 338 to 795 of the family's 1533-position model. The record is from RNAcentral.
CCUACGGGAGGCAGCAGUGAGGAAUAUUGGUCAAUGGACGAGAGUCUGAACCAGCCAAGUAGCGUGAAGGAUGACUGCCCUAUGGGUUGUAAACUUCUUUUAUAUGGGAAUAAAAUGUUCCACGUGUGGGAUUUUGUAUGUACCAUAUGCAUAAGGAUCCGCUAACUCCGUGCCAGCAGCCGCGGUAAUACGGAGGAUCCGAGCGUUAUCCGGAUUUAUUGGGUUUAAAGGGAGCGUAGGUGGAUUGUUAAGUCAGUUGUGAAAGUUUGCGGCUCAAACGUAAAAUUGCAGUUGAAACUGGCAGUCUUGAGUACAGUAGAGGUGGGCGGAAUUCGUGGUGUAGCGGUGAAAUGCUUAGAUAUCACGAAGAACUCCGAUUGCGAAGGCAGUUCACUGGACUGCAACUGACACUGAGGCUCGAAAGUGUGGGUAUCAAACAGGAUUAGAUACCCUGGUAGUC